GAUGAACGCUGGCGGCGUGCCUAAUACAUGCAAGUCGAGCGAACAGACGAGGAGCUUGCUCCUUUGACGUUAGCGGCGGACGGGUGAGUAACACGUGGGUAACCUACCUAUAAGACUGGGAUAACUUCGGGAAACCGGAGCUAAUACCGGAUAAUAUUUCGAACCGCAUGGUUCGAUAGUGAAAGAUGGCUUUGCUAUCACUUAUAGAUUGACCUUCGCCGUAUUAGCUAGUUGGUAAGGUAACGGCUUACCAAGGCAACGAUACGUAGCCGACCUGAGAGGGUGAUCGGCCACACUGGAACUGAGACACGGUACAGACUCCUACGGGAGGCAGCAGUAGGGAAUCUUCCGCAAUGGGCGAAAGCCUGACGGAGCAACGCCGCGUGAGUGAUGAAGGUCUUCGGAUCGUAAAACUCUGUUAUUAGGGAAGAACAAACGUGUAAGUAACUGUGCACGUCUUGACGGUACCUAAUCAGAAAGCCACGGCUAACUACGUG
This 497-nucleotide ribosomal RNA is filed under the name uncultured bacterium. RNAcentral's name for it is "partial 16S ribosomal RNA". It matches the Rfam family "Bacterial small subunit ribosomal RNA", at positions 28 to 507 of the family's 1533-position model. The record is from RNAcentral.